AAGAGCUUAAAAACUCCUUAAAACCAUUGUGAACUCAUCCGUCAGCGUUGCUUCGGUGGGCGGCCCCUCCCCGGGGCCUAAGCCAUCCCUCACCCGGAAGGCGCCCGCCGGAGGCACAAAACUCUCCUGUAUUUUAUGGCACUUCUGAUUAAACAAGCAAAUAAGUUA
RNAcentral lists this unclassified non-coding RNA (168 nucleotides) under uncultured fungus. Its description in RNAcentral is "sequence contains ITS1". The record is from RNAcentral. Lineage: Eukaryota; Fungi.